AGCCUUCGGUUUAGGGAUUGGUAACAUAUGUUAUAGUGUUGUUGGUAUUUUUAGGGUUAGAUUUUGAAAUAUUAUCUUUUUAUUUUUAUUUUUAGUUUGACAUAUAUGUGUUUAGUGACUAUCUAAUUUCUUGAUUUAAACACUUUCUAAGUUUCUUUUAAGUUUAAGGAAGUGUUUUUGCAUAGUUAUUUGAUUAUAGGGUCUGGAAGACUCCGAGAAGACUUUGGUUUAGGGUUUACUAACAUAUGUUAUAGUAUUGUUUGUAUUUAGGGUUUGAGUUUAGAAUCUUAACUUUUUUUAAAAAAGAAUGACCUACAUGUGUUUUAGUUUUGUGUAUAUUAAACACUUUAUAAGUUGAUUUUAAGUUUAAUGAAUUGUUUUUUGCUAUUUAGUUAGUUAUUUGAUUAGGCUAUGGUUUGAAAAACUUCUAGAAUACUUCCAAAAGAAUUCCCUAGAAGUCUUCUGACAUAUUUCCGCCUAAAUUUUAGUAGAAUUUAGGAUUCCCGUCUAAAGCAAAGUCUUAUAGAAAUCUUCCAGAAGUCUUCUCAUGUAUUUGAUUUUAGGGUCUAGAAAACUUCCCAAGAAGUUAGAAGACUUCCAAGAAGUCUUCUGUAUCGAAAAUAUUUAACCUAAUUAGAAUUUUUGUCUCCAUAUAUAAAGAAAAUUUAAACAUUCUUUUUCUUCCUCUCAAAUGGUUGCAACAAAAAUGUAAUUUUUCUCACUCUAAAACUCUCCAACCUCUCUCUAAUCUCUUUGAACAUCAAAACACCAAAUUUUAAAUCUAUUUCUCAUUUUUUUUCUUAUGUCUUCUCACUAAUUUAUCUUCUUUUUGUAGAUUUUUCAUUACAUGGU
Molecule: long non-coding RNA, 852 nt
Filed under: Brassica napus (rape)
Lineage: Eukaryota; Viridiplantae; Streptophyta; Magnoliopsida; Brassicales; Brassicaceae
Description: long non-coding RNA (BNAP_LNC013240)
Source: RNAcentral